UCUACGUAGCAGCAGAAUAUUUUUUUGUGGUCCUCUAAAAUCACUUAUUCACUUACUGAUUUGUACACUGUGUCAGACAGAUGCUGCGUUCAGGCGAUCCGACGAGCUGAACGGCUGCUUUUCGAAGCAGCUUUCCCCUCAGCGAGUAAACUCUCCUCUCUCCUGGACUCGGCUGUGUUUGUGCCGCCUCAGAGCGCUGAUCCGAUGGCAUCUUUUCCUGUUCCUUGCCAUUAUCCUCUUGCAUUUGGAAGAGACGCUCCGUUCACCUGUGGCCUCGCCGUGUCUGUCGGCUACGAGCGUGCGCGUGCGAACUUGUGCACGUCUUUGUCUCCGGCACAGGAAAGCGGGAAAGGCUCUGACAAUGACCACUGCAGUGUUUUGUGACUGAAAUAUUGAGAAUUCUUCAUGUGGACGCCUGAAACAGGGAAAAAAAAGCCCUGAUGUUACAGUCUCGGAGACUUUCACCCCCCAGCCUCCUGCUGCCCCGCCCCUCCACUCCAUUGUGUCCAUGUAAAGUAUGUAGUAAAGCCUUGUAGUCCUAAUAACAUCCAAUUUUAAGCCCUUCACAUCCAUUACCAACAAUACUAUUAUCCCCCUCCCUGCUCUGUCUGCUCAUGCACACACUGCAUUAGCCUUGGAGAGAACAAUACGUGGUGGUGACACUGGUCUAAAUGGAGGGUUUCAUGGUGAGUCCGUGUGUUUGUAUUGGGUGUCUAUGUGCCCAUUUAGUUCAGUUUGAAAAAGACGAUAAAAUCCAACAUCCAACACAGAUUUUAGCACUGAUCUGAUCAGACUGACUAUCACUUGUUACAACGCACUUGGGGUUAUUAGGAAGUACUUCAAUAUGUUCAGUUUAAAAUAUGACUACAUUAAAGUGCCAAAUCUCAGUUUUAACUCAAAGUUGAGGGUUUAAAAGUAACUGGACGGACACUAAUGAAAUCAUCUUUUAUCAUAAUUUGUUGUUUGGAGUCGGUGGCAGUCUUGCACUGUUUUUUUGUGCUCAUCUUCAAGAUUUUAGCUCCUUUGUCUCUGCAGUUAUUUGCCAAUAGAGUGUACAUCACCUCUUUCAUUAAGUCGUUGCUGAUUUUGGUAAACCGACUCCCUUUAAUGUCUUUCGAAAAACUUUUUUGAGGCUCAUUAACCUUCUGAACCCUGAGAUAUCUUGAAGAUGACAGGGCCAAAAGAUGUAAAAACAGAAAGAACCAUCAAAUUUUCAACAUUCUGACAAUCUUUGAACUACUCAUCUGUGAUAAGACCCUCUGUCAGGAAAAGUUAUCAAACCUAAGCUUAACCACUUGAUGCCUGAAUUUAUUUACAAUUAUAUAUCGAAAAAAAGCAUUAUUUGUGUUUUUGCUUUCAAGCUGAUGAUAAAUUAAGUGAAGAUUUUUGAGUUGUCUGUAGCAAAUAUGAUAGAUAUAGAAUAAAAACAAUAGAUAUGCAAUGCUGUAGGUUCCACUCUGACCGGUCCAACAAGAACCCAGUGCUUGCACAAGGGUUUUCUAAUCAUCAAUUAGCUCUUCAACAUGAACAGCUAACAGAAUUUAGCAUUAGAACACAGGAGUGAUGGUUGUCGGAAAUUUUCCUCUGUACCCUGAUGAAGAUAUUUCAUGAAAAAAUCAGCUAGAAUGGUCAUUGAUCACAUUAACAAUGUUGAGAGUGCAUUUGAUUCAAUGCUUUUCUUUCAAAAACAAAGACAUUUCUCAGUGAUCUCAAACUUUUGAAUGGUAGUGUAGAUUGUGUAAGAUGAUAAAUUAUGCCUUCUUCAGCACAAUUGACAAGCCAUUGGUGAGUUUUAGUUGAACGAGGACACAAGUUUGGAAAAACCUUGAAAAUGUCAGAUAUAUAAUAUCUAUUGUACAGUCGAGGUCAAAAGUUUACAUACACUUGUAAAGAACAUAAUGUCAUGGCUCUCUUGAGUUGCCAGUUAUUUCUACAAUUCUGAUUUUUGUAUGCAUAUUUUUCACCUGGCAGAUUUGGUCACUUUUUCUGUUAAACCACAAUAAAGUCAUAAAAGAACCAAA
Molecule: long non-coding RNA, 2021 nt
Organism: Acanthochromis polyacanthus (spiny chromis)
Lineage: Eukaryota; Metazoa; Chordata; Actinopteri; Pomacentridae
Exons: 3
Source: RefSeq, a predicted model, not a curated record